GUAAAUAAAUAUAUAUAUAUAGUUUUUUUUAAAGCUGACUCUUCUUUUAACAGUUUUUUCCCCCAAGAUGAAGCAUAAAAUAACCACUGAGCCUACAGAGAAAUGGUAUUCUUUGUGAUAUCUAAUAUCAGUCUUUCAUACUUCAAGUAUGGACUUUCCUAAGCAGAAAUUCCAGUGCUAAUGGUUGAGGAUUUCCCCUGGCACUCCCCCUUCUGACUCUGACUUAAGGUAGUGAGUCUAGCAGGGCACAUUAGGGACAGUCCCUGUGCAAAGUGGGGAAUUCAAGGCUGGGGGCUGCAUGGUACUGUUGUGAAUGGACAACAACAUGUGCUCAAGUUCUUUCUGAAGAGGGUGAUAAAAAGUGGCAUUUCCUCCUAAACUGGUAUGUGUGUUGCUGUAACGCCUUGAAGCAAUAGAUAAGGGAAGGAGAGGGGAGGGAGUUAAGCAGUGAGCAGAUGGAUGAACGAUUAGAUCAUUUGGAUUAGGAAUGGGGUUUUUUUACACUGAACUCUCUCUUUUCUCAUUCCUUUCUGAUCAGAUUCUCUAUAUACAGAGAGAGUUGAAGCUGCUUAAAAUAGAGAAAAGAAACGUCGUAGCUGGAUUUAGUUGCAAACUAUGAGUACUGAACAAGACAAAGGCUUUAGUCAGGUGAUCAGCUGAUGACUAAUCAUUUAGCCCACUGAGAAGGUACUUCAGAACACAGGAAUGAAAUGCUGAUAGCUCCUUACUUUGGAGAGUGACUGAAAGAAAACAGAUCAUUCAUACAGUAUACAACAAAGGCAUUUUAUAAUCUGAUUUGUCUACCUGUGAUGAAGAAUUUUAGUUAAUGGAAGCUGCAGCAGUCUGUCACCAGGAAAUAUACUGCUUUAUUCAGAAUGGGUCCCAGGAGGUGUUGCGGAAGGGCAAAGGAGGCUGGACAUCUCCUCUACACUCUCACAACUCCUGCAGUUCCUAGGGCUAGGCAACUUUUCCAACUCGCCUCCAUGUGCAAUGACUUCCAAGGGGUAGCUGUGGCAGCUGGGGACUGCUGGAGCACACUGCACUCUGACCAUGCCUUCCUCCCCUUACAAAUCUACUGCGGUAUGGUACGGAGCCAGCAAUGCCAGUUCUACACCCCCUGGAAUUCUCCUACACCAGAGCUUGAAGGCUCUUUUGUGCUGCUAGAAAAACCUAAAGCAGCCUUAUCAGGGCUGAGCAGCCACCCCCUUGUCUUCGUCCUCACCUGCAAAGCAUCUAGCCUGCUAUGA
This 1247-nucleotide long non-coding RNA is filed under the name Chrysemys picta bellii (western painted turtle). RNAcentral describes it as "lncRNA (ENSCPBG00000019951.1)". Lineage: Eukaryota; Metazoa; Chordata; Testudines; Emydidae. The record is from RNAcentral.